RNAcentral lists this ribosomal RNA (388 nucleotides) under uncultured bacterium. RNAcentral's name for it is "bacterial SSU rRNA". It matches the Rfam family "Bacterial small subunit ribosomal RNA", at positions 28 to 417 of the family's 1533-position model. The record is from RNAcentral.
GACGAACGCUGGCGGCGUGCUUAACACAUGCAAGUCGAGCGGUAAGGCCCUUUCGGGGGUACACGAGCGGCGAACGGGUGAGUAACACGUGGGUGACCUGCCCUCAGCUCUGGGAUAAGCCUGGGAAACUGGGUCUAAUACUGGAUAUGACUCCACGGUGCAUGUCGUGGGGUGGAAAGCCUUGUGCGGCCGAGGAUGGGCCCGCGGCCUAUCAGCUUGUUGGUGGGGUGAUGGCCUACCAAGGCGACGACGGGUAGCCGGCCUGAGAGGGCGACCGGCCACACUGGGACUGAGACACGGCCCAGACUCCUACGGGAGGCAGCAGUGGGGAAUCUUGCGCAAUGGGCGAAAGCCUGACGCAGCGACGCCGCGUGAGGGAUGACGGCCU